RNAcentral lists this microRNA precursor (84 nucleotides) under Myotis lucifugus (little brown bat). RNAcentral's name for it is "miRNA (ENSMLUG00000021165.1)". The record is from RNAcentral. Lineage: Eukaryota; Metazoa; Chordata; Mammalia; Chiroptera; Vespertilionidae.
UGCUCUGGAUUAGGCUUUGGCUUAUGGGAAUGUUGUGGCUAGUGUGAUCUCAAUCCAGACCACUACAACUUUCUCCAGAUCAGC